AGACAUUAUUCCCGAGCCCGUUCCGUAGGAAGACGGCGAAGGGGACGCCUAAAGACUCCGUAGUUAUAUUUAUAGUUCUUAUUUUCAAGUAUCUCUUUUAGUUAGUUUGUUCUUUUAUAUUUUGAGCACGUUUUUAGUUUUUUGUGUAAGGGAUGUUAAUCAAAAUUUUAUUACGCUUCCGUAUUUGACAUUUUUAAUACACAUAUUUCAUUCUAAAUUUCCGGGGCCGUUACACUCCCCUUAUUCUUUUAACACAAUAGCCUAUGAAGAAUCUAUACUAGCAUCUUUGUGUUU
This 294-nucleotide long non-coding RNA is filed under the name Carica papaya (papaya). RNAcentral's name for it is "long non-coding RNA (CPAP_LNC015819)". Lineage: Eukaryota; Viridiplantae; Streptophyta; Magnoliopsida; Brassicales; Caricaceae. The record is from RNAcentral.